This 72-nucleotide transfer RNA is filed under the name Loxodonta africana (African savanna elephant). It matches the Rfam family "tRNA". Rfam says of the family: Transfer RNA (tRNA) molecules are approximately 80 nucleotides in length. Their secondary structure includes four short double-helical elements and three loops (D, anti-codon, and T loops). Further hydrogen bonds mediate the characteristic L-shaped molecular structure. tRNAs have two regions of fundamental functional importance: the anti-codon, which is responsible for specific mRNA codon recognition, and the 3' end, to which the tRNAs corresponding amino acid is attached (by aminoacyl-tRNA synthetases). tRNAs cope with the degeneracy of the genetic code in two manners: having more than one tRNA (with a specific anti-codon) for a particular amino acid; and 'wobble' base-pairing, i.e. permitting non-standard base-pairing at the 3rd anti-codon position. The record is from Rfam by way of RNAcentral. Lineage: Eukaryota; Metazoa; Chordata; Mammalia; Proboscidea; Elephantidae.
GCCCUGGUGGCACAAUGGUUAAGUGCUUGGCUGCUAACCUGAAGAUUGAUGGUUUGAACCUAUCCAGUGGCU